Molecule: ribosomal RNA, 200 nt
Filed under: uncultured bacterium
Lineage: Bacteria
Description: partial 16S ribosomal RNA
Rfam family: Bacterial small subunit ribosomal RNA
Source: RNAcentral
AGUGAACGCUGGCGGCAGGCCUAACACAUGCAAGUCGAGCGGCAGCGCAGCAGUAGCAAUACUGUGGGCGGCGAGCGGCGGACGGGUGAGGAAUGCGUCGGAAUCUGCCUCUUUGUGGGGGAUAACGUAGGGAAACUUACGCUAAUACCGCAUACGACCUACGGGUGAAAGUGGGGGACCUUCGGGCCUCACGCAGAGAG